GGUUAAGCGACUAAGCGUACACGGUGGAUGCCCUGGCAGUCAGAGGCGAUGAAGGACGUGCUAAUCUGCGAUAAGCGUCGGUAAGGUGAUAUGAACCGUUAUAACCGGCGAUUUCCGAAUGGGGAAACCCAGUGUGUUUCGACACACUAUCAUUAACUGAAUCCAUAGGUUAAUGAGGCGAACCGGGGGAACUGAAACAUCUAAGUACCCCGAGGAAAAGAAAUCAACCGAGAUUCCCCCAGUAGCGGCGAGCGAACGGGGAGCAGCCCAGAGCCUGAAUCAGUGUGUGUGUUAGUGGAAGCGUCUGGAAAGGCGCGCGAUACAGGGUGACAGCCCCGUACACAAAAAUGCACAUGCUGUGAGCUCGAUGAGUAGGGCGGGACACGUGGUAUCCUGUCUGAAUAUGGGGGGACCAUCCUCCAAGGCUAAAUACUCCUGACUGACCGAUAGUGAACCAGUACCGUGAGGGAAAGGCGAAAAGAACCCCGGCGAGGGGAGUGAAAAAGAACCUGAAACCGUGUACGUACAAGCAGUGGGAGCACGCUUAGGCGUGUGACUGCGUACCUUUUGU
RNAcentral lists this ribosomal RNA (571 nucleotides) under Escherichia coli. RNAcentral's name for it is "partial 23S ribosomal RNA". It matches the Rfam family "Bacterial large subunit ribosomal RNA", at positions 1 to 611 of the family's 2925-position model. The record is from RNAcentral. Lineage: Bacteria; Pseudomonadati; Pseudomonadota; Gammaproteobacteria; Enterobacterales; Enterobacteriaceae.